This 705-nucleotide ribosomal RNA is filed under the name Streptococcus infantarius. RNAcentral's name for it is "bacterial SSU rRNA". It matches the Rfam family "Bacterial small subunit ribosomal RNA", at positions 637 to 1342 of the family's 1533-position model. Lineage: Bacteria; Bacillati; Bacillota; Bacilli; Lactobacillales; Streptococcaceae. The record is from RNAcentral.
UAGACUUGAGUGCAGAAGGGGAGAGUGGAAUUCCAUGUGUAGCGGUGAAAUGCGUAGAUAUAUGGAGGAACACCGGUGGAGAAAGCGGCUCUCUGGUCUGUAACUGACGCUGAGGCUCGAAAGCGGGGGGAGCAAACAGGAUUAGAUCCCGUGGUAGUCCACGCCGUAAACGAUGAGUGCUAGGUGUUAGGCCCUUUCCGGGGCUUAGUGCCGCAGCUAACGCAUUAAGCACUCCGCCUGGGGAGUACGCCCGCAAGGUUGAAACUCAAAGGAAUUGACGGGGGCCCGCACAAGCGGUGGAGCAUGUGGUUUAAUUCGAAGCAACGAGAAGAACCUUACCAGGUCUUGACAUCCCGAUGCUAUUCCUAGAGAUAGGAAGUUUUUUCGGAACAUCGGUGACAGGUGGUGCAUGGUUGUUGUCAGCUCGUGUCGUGAGAUGUUGGGUUAAGUCCCGCAACGAGCGCAACCCCUAUUGUUAGUUGCCAUCAUUAAGUUGGGCACUCUAGCGAGACUGCCGGUAAUAAACCGGAGGAAGGUGGGGAUGACGUCAAAUCAUCAUGCCCCUUAUGACCUGGGCUACACACGUGCUACAAUGGUUGGUACAGAGAGUCGCGAGUCGGUGACGGCAAGCAAAUCUCUUAAACCCAAUCUCAGUUCGGAUUGCAGGCUGCAACUCCGCUACAUGAAGUCGGAAUCGCUAGUAAU